GACGAACGCUGGCGGCGUGCUUAACACAUGCAAGUCGAACGAUGAACCGGUUUCGGCCGGGGAUUAGUGGCGAACGGGUGAGUAACACUUAGGCAAUCUGCCCUGCCCUCUGGGAUAAGCCCGGGAAACUGGGUCUAAUACCGGACACGACACUCCGCGGCAUCUUGGGGUGUGGAAAGUUCCGGCGGUUCAGGAUGAGCCCGCGGCCUAUCAGCUUGUUGGUGGGGUAAUGGCCUACCAAGGCGACGACGGGUAGCCGGCCUGAGAGGGUGACCGGCCACAAGGGGACUGCGACACGGCCCAGACUCCUACGGGAGGCAGCAGUGGGGAAUAUUGCACAAUGGGCGAAAGCCUGAUGCAGCGACGCCGCGUGAGGGAUGACGGCCUUCGGGGUGUAAACCUCUUUCAGCAGAGAAGAAGCGAAAGUGACGGUACCUGCAGAAGAAGCACCGGCUAACUACGUG
Molecule: ribosomal RNA, 464 nt
Filed under: uncultured bacterium
Lineage: Bacteria
Description: partial 16S ribosomal RNA
Rfam family: Bacterial small subunit ribosomal RNA
Source: RNAcentral